Aegilops tauschii subsp. strangulata is the source of this 1268-nucleotide RNA transcript. RefSeq lists it as uncharacterized. Lineage: Eukaryota; Viridiplantae; Streptophyta; Magnoliopsida; Poales; Poaceae. The record is from RefSeq and is a predicted model, not a curated record.
CCUCCCGCCGCCGCCACCCAUGUUCCUCGGGAGCUUGUCCCUUCGCCAACCAAAUCUUCCCCUCGGGAUCCCCUCCCGAUCCAAACCACCAACCGAAGCCGCCACCUUCCUCGUUUUCCAGAUCAGGCCAACCACAACCUUCCAAUCCAUCGAUCCCCAUCCAACCACCUGCCCGAGCUCCUCCGUUCGAAGCCACCAGAGAGCCUCCGUGCUGGCUGGAUGUGGGAACGAGAGGGAGCUCCUCCCGUUUGCUCCUCCCUCCAUGGAGUCGUCGCCAUCGGCGCACCCAGCCACCUGGAGCUCGCCCUGUCUUCCUCGUCGACCAGGACCGGCCUCGUCCCUCUCUCUCCCCCUUCGUUCUCCUCCUUCUGUCUCUCUCGCGCUCUCAAUUUCUCUCUCUCUCGCCAGGUACAGGAGUAACAGGAGCUCGCCCUGCUGCCAUGGCCACCGUUCCGUGACGUCGAGCCCCGCCAAGUCCUCCCUCGCGCCGGAUCCAUCCAUCCCCGAUGCCUGCGCCUCCUUCCUGCUCGGAUCCAGCGAAUUCCGAGCCAAGCCGCCGCUCUUCUUCUAGCGGACCUUCGCCGGAGUCGCGCCAUGUUCCCCUACGUCAAGCCUCGACCUUGAGCUCUUCCCCAACGCCGUUCCUGGCCUCCACCUCUCGUCGCCGCCGAGGACGUGCGCAGCCGCCUCCUUCAAUUCGUCGCGCCGCCACCUAGUUCGCCGGAUCCCCUGCCUGUCGGCCCCUUCUCCGCCUGGAGCUUCGUCUCCUGCACCCGCUCCCAUAUCCGGUCAUCCCCGCCGCCAAACUCUGCGUCCCUGCAGUCCCGCGCCGCCGCUGCUUCCUAUCGAGCGAGCAGAGGAGGAUGAUGCCUCGUUCAACGCCGUUGACCGCGCGAGCAUCGUCAGCGCCUCCCUGCCUCGCAUCGUGGACUGGCUCCAGCGCCCUUCGCCAAGGCCCAGCCCCGCGCCGCUUCUUCCUCAGCCCAGCGGCUCCUACACCGAUCGGGCCAAGAGCCCAUGUUCCGGUUAUGUUGCGAUUGUGAGGAUUCGUUCGACUACGUCCGUUUGUCUUCUCAUGGACUCGUUCUUCUUCCUAGCGGGUUUUCAGGCAAGAUGACCAUACCCUCGAAAUCACUUCUAUCUUUGCUUCCUAGUUGUUCGCUCUCUCGCUGUGUCGCGCUACCUACCACUUGGGAUAUCACAAUAUCUCUUAUUUUAAUUAAUGCACCUAUAUACUUGGUAAAGGGUGGAAGGCUCGGCCUUAUGCC